Molecule: ribosomal RNA, 253 nt
Filed under: uncultured bacterium
Lineage: Bacteria
Description: partial 16S ribosomal RNA
Rfam family: Bacterial small subunit ribosomal RNA
Source: RNAcentral
UACGUAGGGGGCAAGCGUUGUCCGGAAUCAUUGGGCGUAAAGAGCGUGUAGGCGGCCCGGUAAGUCCGCUGUGAAAGUCCAGGGCUCAACCCUGGGAUGCCGGUGGAUACUGUCGGGCUCGAGUCCGGAAGAGGAGUGUGGAAUUCCUGGUGUAGCGGUGAAAUGCGCAGAUAUCAGGAGGAACACCAAUGGCGGAGGCAGCACUCUGGGACGUGACUGACGCUGAGACGCGAAAGCGUGGGGAGCAAACAGG